Molecule: long non-coding RNA, 1175 nt
Organism: Rhinichthys klamathensis goyatoka
Lineage: Eukaryota; Metazoa; Chordata; Actinopteri; Cypriniformes; Leuciscidae
Exons: 4
Source: RefSeq, a predicted model, not a curated record
UUGAAGUUCAGGUAAAACAAUAGUAACUAGUUUCGUUUAUUUGAACCAGAUUGAACACUAAACUAGAGAAAAUGUCUCUUUGUUUUACAGUUAUCCUAUGGAUGGCUGAUUACAUAUGGCAUCACAACGCUGUUUCCAGCAGGAAGAGCCGGAACGUGUGGAGUUUGGUCCAGUUCUCUGAUCUCAGAUCCAGACAAACACAAAGACUCCAUUGAUCGAAGCCAAAGGUGUCCUUGUUGAUUUCAUCUCCAUUGUGUGUUGAACCUCCAUUAGGAUGUUGUGGGACGUUCCAUGUAUCUUCUCCGUGGCCUGGCUGGGUGUUGACGAAAUGGUCUGUUGUAAAUAAAUGAUGAGCAGAUCUGUUUACAGACACGUACAAAAGCUUGAAGACAUUCCCAGGGUGUAGGAUACCCUGCCCGCAGGCCUUCACCAUUCAUUCUGCAGCUUUUCUGUGAACAGAGGGAGAGAAAAAGAGAUCAAAAAGAGAAGAAUUGAUUGUUGGUGAAGUUCAUGACCUCCUGACUGUGGCCCAGUGAUUCACUGCGUGUCCUGGAGUUCAUCGGCUGCGUUUGGCUCCCACUCUACACAACUCCAGAUCUUCAUUCAUCAGGGGAGCCGCGGCAGGAGCGCGGCACGACGUUCCCGACAUCCUCAUCUCUCCCUUUCCUCUUUGUUCCCCAUCUGCUGUGGCUCAAGGCAAAUGAGGAGAUCGGUGGCUUUUGGGUGGACCGUACACUCAGCUCGAUCGCGGCCGGCUGUGUGAGAUGGAGAGAGGGAGGGAAUCACGAGGUGACGGUGAUUAGCUUUGAGUGUUGAGUUUGGAUGGAGCUCCCAUUUUUCUCUUUUUGCAAUCCAAACGUGGACCUCCAACCAUGUUCAUGGUGUUAAUAAAUGCAGCGUCCGGACGGCCACUCGGCCACCAGACACAGGCCCCUUUCACCUGCCCUGCGGGACGUGCCAUCUUUCCGAUAGACAGAAAAUAAACAGCAGCCUUGCAGGCGUUGAGAGACUGACAAAUGGCCCUCCAAAUUGAAAAGCAAUGAAAUAAAUGUUGGCGCCUGCAGCAGCUUGAGCUCAUUUGGACCUGAGAGGGGUUUGAUCCAUGCCAGCACUUUGGCAAUACAUUAAUAUCGUGCCAGUACGCUUCAGAUUACUGUACGCACCAGCGUCCUUGA